This 483-nucleotide ribosomal RNA is filed under the name Geobacillus sp. Sah69. RNAcentral describes it as "bacterial SSU rRNA". It matches the Rfam family "Bacterial small subunit ribosomal RNA", at positions 1056 to 1533 of the family's 1533-position model. The record is from RNAcentral. Lineage: Bacteria; Bacillati; Bacillota; Bacilli; Caryophanales; Anoxybacillaceae.
CAGCUCGGGUGGGGAGAUGUUGGGUUAAGUCCCGAAACGAGCGCAACCCUCGCCUCUAGUUGCCAGGCAUUCGGUUGGGCACUCUAGAGGGACUGCCGGCGACAAGUCGGAGGAAGGUGGGGAUGACGUCAAAUCAUCAUGCCCCUUAUGACCUGGGCUACACACGUGCUACAAUGGGCGGUACAAAGGGCUGCGAACCCGCGAGGGGGAGCGAAUCCCAAAAAGCCGCUCUCAGUUCGGAUUGCAGGCUGCAACUCGCCUGCAUGAAGCCGGAAUCGCUAGUAAUCGCGGAUCAGCAUGCCGCGGUGAAUACGUUCCCGGGCCUUGUACACACCGCCCGUCACACCACGAGAGCUUGCAACACCCGAAGUCGGUGAGGUAACCCKWACGGGAGCCAGCCGCCGAAGGUGGGGCAAGUGAUUGGGGUGAAGUCGUAACAAGGUAGCCGUACCGGAAGGUGCGGCUGGAUCACCUCCUUUCUAA